AUUGAACGCUGGCGGCAUGCUUUACACAUGCAAGUCGAACGGCAGCACGAGUGCUUGCACUUGGUGGCGAGUGGCGAACGGGUGAGUAAUACAUCGGAACGUGUCUUAAAGUGGGGGAUAACGCAUCGAAAGAUGUGCUAAUACCGCAUAAUCUCUAAGGAGAAAAGUAGGGGAUCGAAAGACCUUACGCUUUUGGAGCGGCCGAUGUCUGAUUAGCUAGUUGGUAGGGUAAAGGCUUACCAAGGCAACGAUCAGUAGUUGGUCUGAGAGGAUGGCCAACCACACUGGGACUGAGACACGGCCCAGACUCCUACGGGAGGCAGCAGUGGGGAAUUUUGGACAAUGGGGGAAACCCUGAUCCAGCAAUGCCGCGUGAGUGAAGAAGGCCUUCGGGUUGUAAAGCUCUUUCAGUUGAGAAGAAAAGAUUAUGACUAAUAAUCAUAAUUCAUGACGGUAUCAGCAGAAGAAGCACCGGCUAACUACGUG
This 486-nucleotide ribosomal RNA is filed under the name uncultured organism. RNAcentral describes it as "bacterial SSU rRNA". It matches the Rfam family "Bacterial small subunit ribosomal RNA", at positions 30 to 507 of the family's 1533-position model. The record is from RNAcentral.